This is a long non-coding RNA of Ooceraea biroi (clonal raider ant), 5278 nucleotides long. RefSeq lists it as uncharacterized. Lineage: Eukaryota; Metazoa; Arthropoda; Insecta; Hymenoptera; Formicidae. The record is from RefSeq and is a predicted model, not a curated record.
UAUAGUCAUUAUUCAUGGUCUGUACAUUACACAUAAGCUUAAUAUCGUUUUUAUGUAAAUUCCAUUUUGCUUUUAUGCAUGGAAAAUUAUAUCUUUAAUGUAACGAGCUAAAACAAUGGAGUCAGUAAAGAAAAUGACUCUAUUACUCAGAUGCGUAAGAGAACACUAACGGUCUGUACUGCUUAUAAUCGCUAUUCGGUCAACGCUGUCGUAGCGACAGGAUUAAACUAUAAUACAAUUAUUUUGUAGACAUUUCUUUUCUUAGAAUUUGCCCAUAGCAGUAAUGUUGUAACAUUAUUGCAACGUUGCUGCAACGUUACUGCACUGUUGCUGCAAGCUUCUGUGCUGUAUAGGUGCAAAUCCAAUGUUUGUUUCCUUUUUAGUAAAAGUGCGAAAUGCGUUCUCAGGGGAAUUUUUCUUAUCGGUAGAUAGCUGAAGGCGAUGCCGGUUCGAGUUCUUGACCAUUGGCGGACAAAGGAAAAUGGCCUUCUCGAAUUUUAUCGCGAUGUAGGAGAUUGCUCUUGGCCGCGCUCGAUCGUCCAUAAAGAACGGAACGUGCAGACUGUGAGGAAUGCAUCUUCACCGGUACGCACCGUACAGCCUCAAGCUGCGAAGGAUGAAAGUUGCAAUCGUCGAUGCAGCUGAGAGCCGUUAGAGCCGAGAUGGAUGAGAUUUUCUGAAUGCAACGGCGCGUUGUCGUUGCAGUCGAGGUCACCAGCUUAGGGAUCACCCGGGUCUCCGUGUCACUGCAGCGAGGAACCGACGAAGAACCGUCUGUACGUGAACGACGGCACUUAUCUUCGCCCGCAUAUGAAAGGUAAAAAAAGCCUGCGGGUUCUUUCUCCUUCGGCAAGCAUGAUCAUCACGUUGCCUCGUCGCCGUGCAGUGACAAUGGACGUAGUUCUCGCACUGCACGUCGAGUAUUCUUCGCUCAGUCUCACGAUCGUGCGUGGAAUAAUUAAGCCACGCACGUCACGGAUGGCAGCGAUUGCUAGCACUCUCCUCUCUCGCCAGAGGAGAGUGUCAACGGAAAAGUUGAGGAAGUCCCAGGGAGGAAAUUGUAUAACCGUAUUAGGAUUACAUCUCCUGAUACGGCCGAUCCGACGUUCUUCCAAAUUAUACCUCGAGCAGUACUCGGGUGAUCACCGGAGCGUGUUCGAUUUACCGUACGCGAGCGCACGAUACAAGUCUCGAUACGGUACGCGUAAAAACUAUCCAUUUGCUUGCUGGCGACGCGUGUCAUAACGCGUAUUUUUAGGAAGGCGAGUUUUUUGGUUUCCGUGGGGACUAGUUUUUCUCCUCGGGUAUACUCUGGGUGCGUUAGCACGAGCACGUCAUACGUCUAAAUAAUUGCAUCUACGACAGUCGUUUCAGCACGCGAUAGAACUCGAUGGAAUCGUAUCGCGCGGUGGUCCCUUCUCGAUUUGCGUAAUGCGACAUAAUAAUUUUUCCGGACCGAUAACCCACCUCUCGCGGGGGCCUGGUUAACUGUUCAUUUGCAUAUCCCGUUUCUGCAACAGUUGUAUCGAGCGACGACCGCGCGAUUUCGCGGUACGAAUUCCCCAUUAAACGUCGCUCGCCGGUCGCUCGUCAUCAUGGCGUUUUUUUUCUCUCUCUCUCUUUCUCUCUCUUUCCUUUCCUUUUGCCGGCAUUUGCGGAUGCACGCAUGCAACUCGACGGUUAAUACGUAGCGCGAGAAGGAAAGUGCGGAUAGCCAUGGCGAUAUUCGUAAAGACCGGCGAUGAUACGCUCGGAAAAACGGGCUACUGCAUGUGCAGCUAUCGCGCGCAGCUGAGCAUGUCGAAAGCAGGCGCGGAAAGUGAUGUCUUUUAUCUCGGCAGACGCGUACGUUACAGCGCAGCUGUGCGCGAUAUCUGGAAAAAUCGCCGGUCGCGUGAUUCGAAUCGCGAAUUCGCAUCGCGAUUCUGAAUCCGCGGUCACGGUGUUUAAUGCAAUUGAAGGGGCAAGUGCUUGAAAACGAGAAUGCUUGUCGAUCUGGGGAGUAGAUACGAGCGAUUCUUCUACCAAGUGAUGCAUCUGAAAUACUUUCUUUGCAAGUAUUGUAUUUUCUAUCAUUUUUUUGAUAAUAAAUAUUCAUUGAACGUUUCAUGUCUCAUGGAGGAACAAUGGAGAGGAGGGCAACACGUUUACCCGUUAAACGAACCGUUAAAUGAGAGGAACUGGAAUCUUUACGUUUUAUUUUUUAACGCUAUCUGGUUAAAUUAAUUUUGAUGUCUUGGCGUGCAGAUAUAUUUCUAGUUGUAAAUUGCGCGUGAUAUUUGAGGCAAGUAAGAAUUCUAAGCGUUAAUCGCGAAAUAUCUGCAUUUAUUUAAGAGGUUCUCGUUGGGAAACGGAAGCGAUAUCUCGAUUUUAUGAUCUCUCGGAUCCGCUGUGAGACUGUCCCACGUACCGAUUUCUAUACUUACGUGUGUGCACGCCAGUCAACCGUGCACGCGUGUCCGUAUACCUAAAUAAAGUACAUUGUGACCUGGUUGUACAGUGUUACAGCCAUAAUUACCCGCGCACGCAAUACGAUUGGAAACCAUGGUGAAAAGUGCACCGAAAAUCCCGACCCACAUAUUACGUGCAUUUUAGACAGUCUAAUACGUGCAUUUAAUUAUUUUCUUAAUUAUCCUGAUUACUUAAAUUAACUAACGCCGAAAUUUCAAUUUUAGAAAAAUAUUUUGUCUUCUUGUCUUCUGUUCUGCCUUAACAUUUUUCAAUAAGAAAGAAUACCAGAUAAAAUUAAAUAUCGAUGACCGACUCUGUGUCUAAAUUAAUUAACCGACAUCGGAGAAAGUAAAUUUUAAAUUUAAGAAGAUAUUUUAAUGUGUGCAUGAAUUGAGAAAAUUGGAAGUAUUUUCGCGUGUUGAUAUUCCAUAAAUAUAAUAAUACGCGACACUCGGCCGUAACAAAAUCAAACAACAAUUUACUUGCUAUUGUGACAAUAAUAGUACUUUUACCAUUCCAUUAUGAGCAAUGAUGAGCACUGUCAGACCAUGAAACUCCACCGGAGAAUGCAGGAUACAGGCGAGGUCAGUGCUGUUCGAUUUUUCAAUAUUCCAGUGAGGCAAUCGCCGUCCGCCUUUCCUCGCAAACGGAGGUGGACAGGGAGGUGGAUCUGUGAUCGAUCUGAAUUGCAAAUCACUCGGAGCAUCGCGCAAGGAAGUAUUCGAAGAAGCAGCAGCUGCUAUGCGCUCGUUAAAGUCUCUCGAUGUGACUUGGCGGUCCCGCGCGAAGAGACGCGCUUCUUGUCGCUGACGAAAUUGCGACAACCCGCGAUUAUGUCAACCCGCAUUCCAAUGAUAUCCAUGAUGGAAGUGAACGGAUCGACGGGGUGAACCUUCACCCUUUCGCUGCGCGAUUAAAGCCGCCUUGCGUAGGGCCCCGCGUCGCCGAUGCAGAAACGCACGGAAUGUGACUGGGAGGAAGUGACGGGUCGGAGCGCGAACGCUUUUGCUUUUACUGAUGAAGGAAAUGUGCCUCGAGAAAUCUCAAUAGAGAAAUACUCUCGUGUAACGGAUACUGGUGGAUAGAUAUAAGCGCUGAUGACCUUGUCUUUGCAGUUAAGUUUGCGGUUUCUUUUGGAUUCCAUCGCGGCGGGAAUCUACUGCAUUUAAUUACUCACGAAUUACUUAAUUGAAAGUAUUUAAAAGCAAAAUAAUGUUUUAUUAAAAAAUAUAUAAAAUUUAAAAGUAAGAAUUAGAAAGGAGAGUGAUAGAAUUGCGCAAAAUUUUCACUAGAAACAUUAGUAUUUGCCAGCUUUGUUGUAAAGUCCAGGGUGAAAGGGCAAAGGCGACUUCAUGCAUACGUUUUCUUACUCACGUAGGAUGUUGUCCUUGAGCAGAAUUAUAAAGCGUAUUAUUAGAACUUUUUCCAGUGAAAUUUGCAAGAGAAAGAGAAAAGAGCGCUUAAGGGGGCACAACUUUGCUAUUACCGAUAUGAAUCGGACGCUUUCAGUAUUCAUGAUCUAAUCGACAAAUAAGCCGCCCACUCAGGAAAGUAAGACAUUAUUCAUAUGUAAUGCGAACAGAAAUAGUGGUUUCACGCACUUGAUAGGAAACUAUGUUAUUACAGUCUAGAAUGUAGCAGAACGUAACGCAUUGAGCUAUCUUGUUGUCUGUCACAGAUAUUUUAUUUCGUUAUUAUAUUUUUUUAUUUUAUAUAAAUAUUAAGCGAAAUAAGAUUCAUAAAACAAGAGAGAGAAAGUAAGGAAAUCAAAGCAGAGUAUGUCGCGAGUAAUUUUAUUAUUAUAAGGAGAUUAAAUGAUUAAAUGAUUAAAUUACGUACAUGGUUGUAUUUUUGAAAAUCAUUAACCAUAAAUCGCGCGCGCGGUCUCCUUUCCUGAGAAAAAGACAUGUGGAAUGCUUUAACGCGAGCUUUUAAUUCACGGUUCAACGACGGAGAACCUGAUUUUGCAUAACGAGAAAGGUUCGUUGCUACGGUGAAAGCAACACAGGUGAUUAACAACUGCUCUGUUACUCCUUUUUCGAAGGCGGCCGAUCCGCUCCGCAGAUUCAGGAGAAUUUUAGGAUGCCUUUUAUUUUAUUUUCGAAAAGAGAGAGUGCAGCGACGUUUUCCACAUGUUGCAUAAUCGGAACUGAGUAUACUCGUGUUUGUGAGAUUCCUUUGCCACGUGCGAAUUCUUCCUUUAUUUAUACGAUGUGAUGUUUAUUUUUGAAACAUAGAUUUCAAUCUUAUGAAUCUUUCUCUAAUCUGAUGAAUCUUUCUUUUCCAAACUCCAGAAAAAAUUGUGUGUCUUUAUUAAAGAAAACGCUUAUUUUAUGUAUCUAUGUCACAACUUCACUGCGAAUUGACUGCCUAUUACUUUGACUUAUGUUUUUGCUUAUGCCAGCUGAAAAGAAAUUUAAAAUCUAGUUAUAACCGUUAUAACUUGGAAAGUAUGCGGAGACAAAUCUUUGAAGAUAUUUUUUAUGACUGAAAAGUCUAUAAUAAAAUUUUUAUCAGUCUAUGGAAAAUUAUCAAAGGGAAAAAACUACUUCUUAAUUAACUGAUAUUGUUUUGACGAUUUUUUGAUAUAAACUCUGCAUUGAAAGUUUAUAUUUAUAUUGUUAUAAGAGAAAAGAGAAAAUUUAUUUAUAAGAGAAAAGAGCGCUUAAGAGAGCAUUUCGCUAUUACCGAUACGAACAAUAAUCAAUUUUCAACUUAUGUGUUUAGAAUUAUUAUACACAUAAAAAUUAAUUCAAACGCAAAUAUCCGAAGAAUUCAAUGAGAAAAUAUUACACAAUCAUGUAUUGCAUUAAAAUAAAAAGUUAAU